Non-coding RNA from Epinephelus lanceolatus (giant grouper), 305 nucleotides. The record is from RefSeq and is a predicted model, not a curated record. NCBI's taxonomy places the organism in Eukaryota, Metazoa, Chordata, Actinopteri, Perciformes, Serranidae.
UUGUUCGCUUGCGCUUCAGCUCAUUAGCUUUGUCUUUAGCUACUGUCAUUUUCUAGUGUCAGAUCAGCACUGCACAUGUGCAACUCUAAACACAGAUAAGAAGGAAGCGAGAUUGGUCAUUCCUUAGCUACUUCCUUCAUCCUGAUUGGGCAAGGAGAUGUAUUGUGACUGCACGGAUCUGCACCGUCUCUCACUCUUCUGACUUUCCUGGAAGAAACGCUGGAAGAAGAAGCUGACAGUGAGAACAGGUGGAGGAGCAGAGAAGUCGAGCUGGGAGCCUUCAGGGAUUUCUGGGUACAGACCUG